CUUUAGUUGUUGUUGGACUUUGGCAUCGCGUGGGUGCGACAUUUGUCGGGAAAGGACUAUUUGGCUAGGCAAACUUGCGUGGAAAAAUUGGUGGGAGACACAUUCAGAUGUAGCUGACAAGCUUUAGACGUAACACUUAGAAGUUCAAGAGAUCUAUCGCUGAUAUUAGGCACAACAAGAUUAAGUAAUUCGCAUUUUUUCAUUUAGUCUGGUCCUGGAAUUUGCCACAUUUUAAAAACAGCCUUUCGUUUUUCGCAAUUGUCACAUCUUCAAACGUACAAUUUUUCCGGGGAAAUCAUGGGUCUUGUCGAGGAACUGCUUAAAGCUCUGGAAAAGCUGACUAAAGUUAUUUCCCAAAUUUUGAACGAGUUUGAAGGACCAAACGGAUUGAUUGAAGAAAUGAAAAGCUACGAACUAAAAAAGAACAUCGCUAAAACAACUGGAACGGUUAUAGGCAUUGCUGGUGUGUGUCUAGUGCCCUUCACUUUCGGAUGGUCUCUGGCUGCAACGGCAGCUGGAGCUAGCGUGAAUUUAGUCACAGAAUUUGUAGACAGCACUGAAUCCCACGCAUUCCGAGAGAGAAUGAAGAAACACAUAGAUGCAUAUCAAGAACAUUGCGAAGUCCACGAAAAGCUAAUCAAACGGCUGGAGUCUGAUAUUCACAGGCUAAGUUCGGCUCAGGAACUCGAUGUCCAGACGGCCCUGCUCUACUGCGCACUCUCAGCCGAAGCGAACAAGUUAGACAAGAAAAUGGUUAAAAUUAGCGACGCAGAAAUGAUAAACAGAAGCGCACACAUGGCAGGACUUGCCCUUACACUCCAGCAAACGGGAAAGUCCGCAUUUAUGGCUACAGUAAAGGGAGUUGGAAAGGCUACCGUUGUCGUUGGAGGCUUCGUGUCUGCAUACGAAACGGUCACACUUUUCUUGGACUGGAAUGGUACCCAUCCCACGAUUGCCGGAGCUGAAAAAGUGGUGGAAGAAUUUAAAACGGCCCAAUCUUCUUUGAACAAAAGGAUGAAAAACAUUAAAAAAGGAGUGGGCAUGAAAAGUAAUAAACAAGGAAAUAGCGAAAAAUCACAAUAUGAAAAGAUUUGGCAGAGAGAUUCCGCUGAUCAGAACAAGGAAGAUGUAAACGAAGGAAAAGCUGGAGGCGGAGACGACGAAAAGGAGCCCCAAAAACCAACAAAAGAUGAUAAACCUGAAGAGAAAAGAAACGAAACUAAAGUCAAUGUUGAUUCUGACAUUACUCUACCGGAUGGAAGGCGUAUACUCAGGGUUUCCGCUGUUGUAAGGCUAGAAAACUUGGGUCAAGGUAGUAACACAAACAAUUCCGUGGCGAAAAAAUGGAAGAAAAGUUUCAAUUUACCGGAUGAUUACCACGCAGGCCACAUCAUUGGCUGUAUGUUAGGGGGAUCUGGUUCUGAUGUGAACAAUCUUGUCCUAAUGCACAGUGGCUUUAAUAACGGAAGCCUCAAAUCUUUUGAGUUCCGUGCCCGUAAUUUACUCAAGCAAUGCCAGGCAAUCAAUCCUAACGCCUCCGUGGAGGCAAGAAUUAUGGUUUCCAUAGUUUUUGCUCCGGGUGGCAAGGUACCAUUUCAUAUAUUGUAUGGCGUUAGAUUGGUCGUUAAUGGAGUCGUAGAAAAACAAGGAUAUGCCGCUGUUUUCGUAAUCAACUGUUGUGCAAAUGGUCCCCAUGAUGGUCCUUGUAACGGUAUGCAAGAGGACUAUUAUUAUACGGAUGAAUAGAUUACUGAGGUCUAUUAAACCAAGCCUGGACAAGAUAAUCGUGAUUACAAAAAAGGAAAAAUUUACUUUUACCCAAUAAUUUCAAGGAAAAAGGGCAAGAUAUUCUGUAUUAAAAGGACUAUUGUUUUGGUUUUCAUAGCAUUUAUUGAAUUAUCAAUAGCUUUACUGCUCUGCUUUUUAAAGUAAAAUUUCGUUGGUUUGCUGAGACGAAAUACACUAACAUCCCAUACGAAAAAAACCUUGUUCACUUAAAUAUGCUUACAGUUAAAGAAUAUACAAAGUCAAAGGGAACAAAAUUAUAUUAACUUUCAUUCCAAGUCCGACGAUAAUUUUCACGCAUUUUCUAAUUAAUGUAAAACUGAUUUUCUUUACGAUUUGUUGGUAGUCCGACAAAUAUUUUUAUCCAAAACUGGAAAAUGACAACGCCACUAAAAUUUAGCAGACGGCGAUGUUGGUUACUUAACAGUUAAUGACUGAACAUGUGAACAUGCUCCGUGUGUAGGCGUUAGUUAACAAGAAUAAGUUAGUUGUAGCACAGACUAAGAUUAGAUUCUAAUAUUAGUCUGUGGUUGUAGCAUCGUUGUAGACCUGCUGGAAUUUCUGUUUGUGAUAGCUUUUUUGUUGGUGUAUUGCAUUUCAUCAGUGCCAUCCUUAGCAGUUAUGAAUGCUACAAGAAAACGGCUGAUUCCGAAUUAAGUGUUAAAAAAUAAAUUGUUUCCCCACGUGGCCGACAUGUCCUGGUUGAAUAAUAAAAUGUUGCCCUUUGACGUAAACAGUGCAAAGAAGCAAGUAUAAACACAGAAGAAAACAAACAUCACAUUGUAGAUAUAUGCCAACAGGGUUUACCAGUGCUAAUGGGUUCUGAAACUGUUACCUGGAACGACGUGCACCGGAAUCAGAAUGUUUGGUUGAUUGAUGACAAGAAUGAAAUCUUUAAUUCAUCUACCUUUGGCGAUUCUAGUUCAAGGUUUGGGUUUGGCUGUCGUACCAAAAUGACUUGUCAUACACAACAGAAAAUGACUCAUCAGGAUGUACAUCAAAUGUUUAGAAAUUAGAAGUCAAUCAG
RNAcentral lists this unclassified non-coding RNA (2812 nucleotides) under Daphnia magna. RNAcentral describes it as "uncharacterized LOC116933905, transcript variant X2". Lineage: Eukaryota; Metazoa; Arthropoda; Branchiopoda; Diplostraca; Daphniidae. The record is from RNAcentral.